GUGGGGAAUAUUGGACAAUGGGGGGAACCCUGAUCCAGCCAUGCCGCGUGUGUGAAGAAGGCCUUUUGGUUGUAAAGCACUUUAAGCGAGGAGGAGGCUACCGAGAUUAAUACUCUUGGUUAGUGGACGUUACUCGCAGAAUAAGCACCGGCUAACUCUGUGCCAGCAGCCGCGGUAAUACAGAGGGUGCAAGCGUUAAUCGGAUUUACUGGGCGUAAAGCGCGCGUAGGUGGCCAAUUAAGUCAAAUGUGAAAUCCCCGAGCUUAACUUGGGAAUUGCAUUCGAUACUGGUUGGCUAGAGUAUGGGAGAGGAUGGUAGAAUUCCAGGUGUAGCGGUGAAAUGCGUAGAGAUCUGGAGGAAUACCGAUGGCGAAGGCAGCCAUCUGGCCUAAUACUGACACUGAGGUGCGAAAGCAUGGGGAGCAAACAGGAUUAGAUACCCUAGUAGUCC
Molecule: ribosomal RNA, 451 nt
Filed under: uncultured bacterium
Lineage: Bacteria
Description: partial 16S ribosomal RNA
Rfam family: Bacterial small subunit ribosomal RNA
Source: RNAcentral